UACGUAGGGCGCAAGCGUUGUCCGGAAUUAUUGGGCGUAAAGAGCUCGUAGGCGGCCUGUUGCGUCCGCUGUGAAAUCCCGGGGCUUAACCCCGGGCUUGCAGUGGAUACGGGCAGGCUGGAGGCAGGCAGGGGAGAACGGAAUUCCCGGCGUAGCGGUGAAAUGCGCAGAUAUCGGGAGGAACACCGGUGGCGAAGGCGGUUCUCUGGGCCUGUACUGACGCUGAGGAGCGAAAGCGUGGGGAGCGAACAGG
Molecule: ribosomal RNA, 253 nt
Filed under: uncultured bacterium
Lineage: Bacteria
Description: partial 16S ribosomal RNA
Rfam family: Bacterial small subunit ribosomal RNA
Source: RNAcentral